Molecule: ribosomal RNA, 496 nt
Filed under: uncultured bacterium
Lineage: Bacteria
Description: partial 16S ribosomal RNA
Rfam family: Bacterial small subunit ribosomal RNA
Source: RNAcentral
GAUGAACGCUGGCGGCGUGCCUAAUACAUGCAAGUCGAGCGAACGGACGAGAAGCUUGCUUCUCUGAUGUUAGCGGCGGACGGGUGAGUAACACGUGGAUAACCUACCUAUAAGACUGGGAUAACUUCGGGAAACCGGAUCUAACACCGGAUAAUAUUUUGAACCGCAUGGUUCAAAAGUGAAAGACGGUCUUGCUGUCACUAAUAGAUGGUUCCGCGCUGCAUUAGCUAGUUGGUAAGGAAACGGCUUACCAAGGCAAGGAUGCAUAGCCGACCUGAGAGAGUGAUCGGCCACACUGGAACUGAGACACGGUCCAGACUCCUACGGGAGGCAGCAGUAGGGAAUCUGCCGCAGUGGGCGAAAGCCUGGCGGAGCAACGCCGCGUGAGUGAUGAAGGUCUUCGGAUCGUAAAACUCUGUUAUUAGGGAAGAACAGAUGUGUAAGUAACUGUGCACAUCUUGACGGUACCUAAGCAGAAAGCCACGGCUAACUACGG